Molecule: ribosomal RNA, 1034 nt
Filed under: uncultured bacterium
Lineage: Bacteria
Description: bacterial SSU rRNA
Rfam family: Bacterial small subunit ribosomal RNA
Source: RNAcentral
ACUCCUACGGGAGGCAGCAGUGAGGGAUAUUGCACAAUGGGGGAAACCCUGAUGCAGCGACGCCGCGUGGGUGAUGAAGGCUUUCGGGUCGUAAAACCCUUUUUGGCAUGACGAGAACGGACGGUAGUGCCAGAAUAAGUCUCGGCUAACUACGUGCCAGCAGCCGCGGUAAAACGUAGGAGGCAAGCGUUAUCCGGAGUUACUGGGCGUAAAGGGUGCGUAGGCGGCUCAUCAAGUGGGACGUGAAAGCUCACGGCUAAACUGUGAGAGGACGACUCAGACUGAAGGGCUAGAGGGUGUCAGAGGCGUGCGGAAUUCGGGGUGUAGCGGUGAAAUGUGUAGAGAUCCCGAGGAACACCAGUGGUGCAAACGGCGCGCUGGGACACAACUGACGCUGAAGCACGAAAGCGUGGGGAGCGAACGGGAUUAGAGACCCCGGUAGUCCACGCCGUAAACGAUGUCAACUAGGUGUCUGCAAGGGGAAACSUGAGUGGGUGUCAAAGCUAACGCGAUAAGUUGACCGCCUGGGGAGUACGGUCGCAAGGCUAAAACUCAAAGGAAUUGACGGGGGCCCGCACAAGCAGCGGAGCGUGUGGUUUAAUUCGAGGCUACGCGAAGAACCUUACCUGGGUUUGACAUCACGGUGGUAGGGCGACGAAAGUCAACCGACCUUCGGGAGCCGUGACAGGUGCUGCAUGGCUGUCGUCAGCUCGUGUCGUGAGAUGUUCGGUUAAGUCCGAAAACGAGCGCAACCCUCGGCGUUAGUUACACGUGUCUAACGCGACCGCCCUCGAGAAGGGGGAGGAAGGUGGGGAUGACGUCAAGUCAGCAUGGCCUUUAUAUCCAGGGCUACACACACGCUACAAUGGGGGACACAAUGGGCAGCGAAGGGGCGACCUGGAGCCAAUCCACCAAAGUCUUUCGUAGUUCGGAUUGCAGGCUGCAACUCGCCUGCAUGAAGCUGGAGUUGCUAGUAACCGUGCAUCAGCUACGGCACGGUGAAUACGUUCCCGGGCCUUGUACACACCGCCCGU